GAUGAACGCUGGCGGCGUGCCUAAUACAUGCAAGUCGAGCGAAUGGAUUGAGAGCUUGCUCUUAUGAAGUUAGCGGCGGACGGGUGAGUAACACGUGGGUAACCUGCCCAUAAGACUGGGAUAACUCCGGGAAACCGGGGCUAAUACCGGAUAACAUUUUGAACCGCAUGGUUCGAAAUUGAAAGGCGGCUUCGGCUGUCACUUAUGGAUGGACCCGCGUCGCAUUAGCUAGUUGGUGAGGUAACGGCUCACCAAGGCAACGAUGCGUAGCCGACCUGGUAGGGUGAUCGGUCACACUGGGACUGAGACACGGCCCAGACUCCUACGGGAGGCAGCAGUAGGUAAUCUUCCGCAAUGGACGAAAGUCUGACGGAGCAACGCCGCGUGAGUGAUGAAGGCUUUCGGGUCGUAAAACUCUGUUGUUAGGGAAGAACAAGUGCUAGUUGAAUAAGCUGGCACCUUGACGGUACCUAACCAGAAAGCCACGGCUAACUACGUGCCAGCCGCCGCGGUAA
Molecule: ribosomal RNA, 515 nt
Filed under: uncultured bacterium
Lineage: Bacteria
Description: partial 16S ribosomal RNA
Rfam family: Bacterial small subunit ribosomal RNA
Source: RNAcentral